AAGCAAGAUGCGUUGUGGUUCCAGUGUGCAGAGAGCUCCUUGCUGUUUCGUGAAGGAUCACAGCCACUUCAUAAAUACAGCACAAAAGGGUGAAGGCUUCUUCAGUGGAGAAGGUUUAUUCUGUGCUUGUUGCACUUGUUGCUUGGACUCAGUAGUUUAAAGAAGGCCAGACUGGUUCAGGAGAUAGGAGGCAUUUAGCAGUGCUGCGAUGGGGUGAUAACGGAAGUUUGAGUAGAUAUAGCCUUUAUAAAAAGCUUUUAUUAUAAGGCCUACAGGUCCCUGACUGGAGGACUCAUGUGCUGUGCUGCUCUCUCCUUAAGAAGCAUGUUCAGGACUGAGCCAUCUAUUUGAAAUGUCCUCCCAGCUCUCCACCCCUGCAGGAGAUUUUAAACAAAGGUUAAAGAAGGAAAGAAACAGCAUAAGCAAAUUUCAAGGGACAAGAUUAAUCACUGCACAUCGAUUCCAUCAUGACAAACAGCCCAAGGAUUUACGUGCUGCUCACCUUGUGAUGACUGCCUGAUGUACAGGUUUUAUGAAGACAAGAGUGAAGGAGUGCAGCCCCCCUUGGCAGUCACAGCAGAAGGCAACUGAGGACCAGCCCAUCCUCUUCAAAACAGAGAUGUCCAGGUCCUGGGAAAGAGGUGUUGCUUCGGCCCUUGGUCUGGAGGAUCUGUUGUAAGAGUAGAGCAAGGACAUGUCUUAGCUCAGGGCUAACAGUGACCAACCUCAAACUCACUAGAUUUGGUUCAGGCACAAUAAGAGGCAUUUUCAGAAGUGUUACAUCACUUCCUCGUGGUUGAUACCAGACUUAUAAAAGAGUAGAUUUCAGGGAGGUUUGAAAUUCUCAUGCUCUUUUUGUGUGCAGGUGCCCCACAUGAAUGGUAUCUAUAGAAAAAACAUUUACUCACUGUCAGUUCCUGAUCUGCUGCUCAGCAGCCAGACCUGGCAUGCCCAGAAGUCAUCACUACCUUGCUGAUGUAGAUACUUAAAAGUGGAAUUCAUCUUGUCUGGCUUCAGGGUGUCUAAAAGCUACAUGAGUAAUUCUGGGCUCAUGCCCUCCCUCCUUUUACACUCCUUGAAGAAAACCAGGCACCUCCACAUUUCGCUCUGCCUGACUGUAGGCGAGGUCUGAGGGUGAGAUGAACCUGUGCCUUGUCAUAGGCUAUAACCGGAUCACAGAUAAUGAACCCAGGCUGAGGUGUCAGUGGCCUAUUUAUAGGAUUUCAGUAGUAAAUCAGGAAAAUCAUUUUGUCAUAGCAAUAUAAAUCCCAAAAUAGCAUCUCUGUACCGCUGCCCAUCCCCAUACCUCCCUUCUGCUGAUAAAGAUGGCAUGGAAAUGAGAUGAGAGACAAGCAACAGAGGCUUCUGUGAUAAACAGGCCUUAAAAAGAUUGCAAAUGGAAAAGAAAGAUGUGGCUGUAUUAAAGAUCACAGGAUAAACGAGCCAUGAGUGUAACAAGAGCUGAAAAUGGGAGGCAGAUCCUAAGUUCAGGAGGGAAAAGGAAUGUCCUUGCCUUGUGUGGGAUACAGGGACCAGCCAGGAUCUGGCCAGUGGAGCAGGUGCAGAGGAAGAUGGGGGGCAAACUAAAAUAGCUUUGUUUAGGCUAGGAAAAGGAGGAAAAGGCUAGGAAAAGGAUUGCCUUCUAUAAAUAGUCCAAGUAAGCCCCCAGGGAAGGGAGAUAAUUAUUUAAGCUAAAAGACAAUGUUGGCCCCAAAUCAAACUGGUUGUGAGUAAAUAGAGGGUGGAAACAUGAAGGAGGUUUCUGAGCAUCACAGGAAAGAUGUUCUGAAGCAACUUUCCAGUCACAGCAGGAACCUGAGCACUUCUAAAUCCGUCAGAGCAGGAAAUUGAUCUCGGUGCCAAGAUAUCUUCCAGAUCUACAUACACAUUACUCAUGCUUUAUUUAAUCUUUAUUUUGCCAAUGACAAAUUUUUGCCUUGCCUUAGAAAAUAAGACUGGACAAAAACUUCCCAGACUGUAUGGUUGAUAGGUUGAUCGAAGGCAGGUUCAUUCAUAUUGAUGGGUGUUGGGCUGGCAUCAGUCGGCACAUCCACAAGUGACAUCUACAGUGUUCUAGUCCUCCACUGCCCUUAUUAUCAUAACAGCUUCUUAAUAUGUUGGGUAUUUUCGCUCAUUAUCUUGCCUUAUCUCUCUCUCUGCAGUUUAUGUACAUCAUUAGGCUAAUGGAACACUGCAAGAAUGAUGGGAAGUUUUGGCCUGGGAAAAAAUGCCAUUAAAUCUCUUUAGGAGAAACCUCAGUCAACAAAAACUAUGGAAACAAAACCAAACCAGGACUGGUGCCUGGGUUUGAAUAUGGCCACUCAGCAAACAGGGAAACUGAGGAAACUGGGGUCAAAUUUCCUUCCUCUGUUUAGCCCUUUCACAUAGCCUUAUACAGAGAAAUUUGAUAGUGAUAGAGGAAAACCCCACAUUCCCAUGGAAACUUUGGUGCACACUUUCCAGCAGCAGUGCAUAAGAAUGGACCAGAAUGGUUCUUCUUUAGGGAUUAGCCUCAUACAAUCCUUUGGCUUAGCUCUUAGUAAAAAACAUAUUCCAGCCCAAUUUGCACACAGUUACUUUCUCAGUGUCAGAGUUUUACCAAACUACUUUCUUUUUUUCCCCCUUUAUAUCUGAGGCAAAUAACUGUGCAAGACAGGCACUAGCUUUCUAAGGAGUGAAUCCAUUGGUCAAAAGGGUUUCCUUGCUGUAUGGAUGAGAUUUCUACCGCUUGUCCCUAAAGCAAAUAACUGAUUGUAUAAAAACUAUUCAGAUUUAAAUAGGAAUUCUUAUAAUGGAAGGAGAGAUACAGAAUGUUCUUUUUCUGUUCUCUUUCUGCUUCUGAAAAGAUCAGAUUCACGCUUACCUUCUAACGUAAUCUACUCUAAUCUCGAGUCAUCCACCACUGAAUUGACCAGAGUACAGGAAAGCAAGAAACCAGCUUUUUCACAGCUGAAAAUGGGUCAACCAUGCACCUCAACCCUUUAAAUGAAGUAAAAGCAAGGCUGAGAUGGGGAAGGGAGUAAGGUUUUGUUAAUAGAAGCAGGCUGUGACCCACGCUUACCUUGAUGGAUAGGAAUAACCCUGUGCUCUGAACUAGAUGGGUAAAUACAACCUCUGCCAGGUACACCAUCAUCCACUUUCCUCAUAUAUCAUGUCUGAACUUUCAUACCCCGUCGCACAUCAGUGGGUGGUUAUCGAAGGAUGAUGUACAACCUCUCUGCUUCGGAAAUUGUCUAUUUAAUAGAAGCUCCUGCUGUGUCUCAACAGUUGCAUUAGGAACCCUGUCUAUCUCCCAUGUUCUAAAAAAAGCCAUUCGUGAAAGCAGGCGAGCACAAGAGCUGAGUAAACUUGGACACAGCUCCCAGCCAAAUUAUGAGCAUGCUGCCAAACAUGGAGAAAAGUGCAUCUGAUUCUUCUGCUAAGGCGUCCAAGGAGGGCCACAAAAUUACAGUUGAAACUAUAAACAGAAUGAGUACAUUUUGUUCAUUUUCCUGUUCUCUUUGUAAUCGAUGCAAUAUGAAGAGCUGCUAUCAGUAGAGUUAUACAAUCAGAUGGUGGCAAUAAAAGGAGCGUUAGCAAGCCUAGGAUGUCAUAGGAGGUUGACUGAAGGAAGCAGUUAUAAACCAAGACCAUUUAUAUCUAUUUAGAUGAGAACACCAGUUUUGUGACAAAGUCAUUUUGAUGUCUGUCUGCCCACUUAAUACUCAACUGAUGGAUGUCUGCAUCCUGAUCUACAGUGGUUGCCUGGAGAAAGAUCAGUACCAAGGAUUAUACAUGCACAGACACGUCUCUUUGUGCACCUUGAAUAAGAUGUGUGUUAUAUAUAGUCACAACAUAUCCAUGUAUAAGUGAGUUCAUCUGAUGUACACAGUAUUAUGCAUAUGCACAACAGCAUCAU
Long non-coding RNA from Pezoporus occidentalis (night parrot), 3898 nucleotides. RefSeq lists it as uncharacterized. NCBI's taxonomy places the organism in Eukaryota, Metazoa, Chordata, Aves, Psittaciformes, Psittacidae. The record is from RefSeq and is a predicted model, not a curated record. The transcript is spliced from 3 exons.